CAGCCGCCGCGGUAAUACAGAGGGUGCGAGCGUUAAUCGGAUUUACUGGGCGUAAAGCGUGCGUAGGCGGCUUCUUAAGUUGGAUGUGAAAUCCCUGAGCUUAACUUAGGAAUUGCAUUCGAUACUGGGAAGCUAGAGUAUGGGAGAGGAUGGUAGAAUUCCAGGUGUAGCGGUGAAAUGCGUAGAGAUCUGGAGGAAUACCGAUGGCGAAGGCAGCCAUCUGGCCUAAUACUGACGCUGAGGUACGAAAGCAUGGGGAGCAAACAGGAUUAGAUACCCCUGUAGUCCCUGUCUCUUAUAC
Molecule: ribosomal RNA, 301 nt
Filed under: uncultured bacterium
Lineage: Bacteria
Description: partial 16S ribosomal RNA
Rfam family: Bacterial small subunit ribosomal RNA
Source: RNAcentral